UCCUGGCUUAAAUCUACAUGGCCCCUGGAUUGGACUGCGGCCGAUCAGGCUGUUGGUGAGGUAAUGGCCCACCAAACCUAUAACCGGUACGGGCUCUGAGAGGAGAAGCCCGGAGAUGGGCACUGAGACAAGGGCCCAGGCCCUAUGGGGCGCAGCAGGCGCGAAAACUCUGCAAUGGGCGAAAGCCUGACAGGGUUACUCUGAGUGAUUUCCGCUAAGGAGAUCUUUUGGCAGCUCUAAAAAUGGUGCAGAAUAAGGGGUGGGCAAGUCUGGUGUCAGCCGCCGCGGUAAUACCAGCACCCCGAGUGGUCGGGACGAUUAUUGGGCCUAAAGCAUCCGUAGCCGGUUGUGCAAGUCCUCCGUUAAAUCCAGCCGCUCAACGGAUGGGCUGCGGAGGAUACUACAGAACUAGGAGGCGGGAGAGGCAAGCGGUACUUAGUGGGUAGGGGUAAAAUCCUUUGAUCCAUUGAAGA
This 473-nucleotide ribosomal RNA is filed under the name uncultured archaeon. RNAcentral's name for it is "bacterial SSU rRNA". It matches the Rfam family "Archaeal small subunit ribosomal RNA", at positions 180 to 656 of the family's 1478-position model. The record is from RNAcentral.